AUUGAACGCUGGCGGCAGGCCUAACACAUGCAAGUCGGACGGUAGCACAGAGGAGCUUGCUCCUCGGGUGACGAGUGGCGGACGGGUGAGUAAUGUCUGGGGAUCUGCCCGAUAGAGGGGGAUAACCACUGGAAACGGUGGCUAAUACCGCAUAACGUCGCAAGACCAAAGAGGGGGACCUUCGGGCCUCUCACUAUCGGAUGAACCCAGAUGGGAUUAGCUAGUAGGCGGGGUAACGGCCCACCUAGGCGACGAUCCCUAGCUGGUCUGAGAGGAUGACCAGCCACACUGGAACUGAGACACGGUCCAGACUCCUACGGGAGGCAGCAGUGGGGAAUAUUGCACAAUGGGCGCAAGCCUGAUGCAGCCAUGCCGCGUGUAUGAAGAAGGCCUUCGGGUUGUAAAGUACUUUCAGCGGGGAGGAAGGCGAUGUGGUUAAUAACCGCGUCGAUUGACGUUACCCGCAGAAGAAGCACCGGCUAACUCCGUGCCAGCAGCCGCCGCGA
Molecule: ribosomal RNA, 506 nt
Filed under: uncultured bacterium
Lineage: Bacteria
Description: partial 16S ribosomal RNA
Rfam family: Bacterial small subunit ribosomal RNA
Source: RNAcentral